Molecule: ribosomal RNA, 523 nt
Filed under: uncultured bacterium
Lineage: Bacteria
Description: bacterial SSU rRNA
Rfam family: Bacterial small subunit ribosomal RNA
Source: RNAcentral
UUAGAGUUUGAUCCUGGCUCAGGAUGAACGCUGGCGGCGUGGAUAAGGCAUGCAAGUCAAACGGCUCGCAAGAGCAGUGGCAGACGAGGUAGUAAUAAAUAGGUACCAACCCCAAAGUCAGGGAUACCUCAUCGAAAGAUGAGUUAAUACUUGAUGGUCACGAAAGUGUAAAGAUUUAUCGCUUUGGGAUGGGCCUGUUCAGUACCAGCUAGUUGGUAGGGUAAUGGCCUACCAAGGCUUAGACGCUUAGGGGACCUGAGAGGGUGACCCCCACCGAUGGAACUGAGAAACGGUCCAUACACCUACGGGUGGCCGCAGUCGAGAGUCUUCCGCAAUGGACGCAAGUCUGACGGAGCGACGCCGCGUGGUUGAUGAAGUCCUUCGGGACGUAAAAACCUUUUGCCAGGGAGAAAGUUUAUUGAUAGUACUUGGCGAAUAAGAGGUUGCUAAACUCGUGCCAGCAGCAGCGGUAAUACGAGUGCCUCAAGCGUUAUCCGGAAUCAUUGGGCGUAAAGGAUGUGUA